GAGUUUGAUCCUGGCUCAGGACGAACGCUGGCGGCACGCCUAACACAUGCAAGUCGAACGGAGAUAUUUUGGUUUACUGAGAUAUYUUAGUGGCGGACGGGUGAGUAACACGUGAGCAACCUGCCUYUGAGAGAGGGAUAGCUUCUGGAAACGGAUGGUAAUACCUCAUAACAUAACGAAGCCGCAUGACUUUGUUAUCAAAGAUUUAUCACUCAGAGAUGGGCUCGCGUCUGAUUAAAUAGUUGGUGAGGUAACGGCUCACCAAGUCGACGAUCAGUAGCCGGACUGAGAGGUUGAACGGCCACAUUGGGACUGAGACACGGCCCAGACUCCUACGGGAGGCAGCAGUGGGGAAUAUUGCACAAUGGGGGAAACCCUGAUGCAGCGAUGCCGCGUGGAGGAAGAAGGUUUUCGGAUUGUAAACUCCUGUCUAAAGGACGAUAAUGACGUACUAGAGAUUCCGC
This 464-nucleotide ribosomal RNA is filed under the name uncultured Bacillota bacterium. Its description in RNAcentral is "bacterial SSU rRNA". Lineage: Bacteria; Bacillati; Bacillota. The record is from RNAcentral.